RNAcentral lists this ribosomal RNA (292 nucleotides) under uncultured bacterium. RNAcentral describes it as "partial 16S ribosomal RNA". It matches the Rfam family "Bacterial small subunit ribosomal RNA", at positions 505 to 796 of the family's 1533-position model. The record is from RNAcentral.
CUUUCAGCAGCCGCGGUAAUACGUAGGGGGCAAGCGUUGUCCGGAUUUAUUGGGCGUAAAGAGCGUGUAGGCGGCUAGGUAGGUCCGUUGUGAAAACUCGAGGCUUAACCUCGAGACGUCGAUGGAAACCAUCUAGCUAGAGUCCGGAAGAGGAGAGUGGAAUUCCUGGUGUAGCGGUGAAAUGCGCAGAUAUCAGGAGGAACACCCGUGGCGAAGGCGGCUCUCUGGGACGUGACUGACGCUGAGACGCGAAAGCGUGGGGAGCAAACAGGAUUAGAAACCCUUGUAGUCC